RNAcentral lists this small RNA (705 nucleotides) under Histoplasma capsulatum var. duboisii H88. RNAcentral describes it as "Histoplasma capsulatum H88 hypothetical RNA". The record is from RNAcentral. Lineage: Eukaryota; Fungi; Ascomycota; Eurotiomycetes; Onygenales; Ajellomycetaceae.
CCAUCAGCCCAAAAAUUGCACACACCAUGUUUGAGCUUUGUUCAACUUUAGUGUGAAUAAAACUGCAUUAUCAUAUCAAUCAGGUUGAUUCUUUUCUCAGAGAAUAUUAUUAUUUUUUUCUAUAUUUCUCAUAUUAAUUCUCCAGCAAAUCUUCUACUCUUCUACUCUCUAAUUCCACGUUAUUUUAACCGAGGGCUAAACCCUUCAGACCAUCAAGGUGGAAUGCACAAAAACGGACCUCGAGCUUUUGUAGACGAGGGUACAAUGGAUGGGCAAGCGCUCAGCCAGUUAUCCAGCGCAAUAUCUACUAGUGUUCUUAUGGGGGCCUAGUUGAUAUGGAGCAGGUGGAUAGCUAGAGAUAUCUAUUCUUAAUGAAUUCUGAGAUUGUGAAGAUCCAGCUAGUUUUUCCGCUGCACACAAUGCAAAAUCAGCAGUAGUCUCAUUGCAGUGGUAUAUAUAUUCUUAAGCUUGUUCGGUGUGAUCUCUAUGUAUGCAUAUACGUCAAGAGAUUAGCUUAGUAUAUGUUAUAUCUAUAUCCACGGAAAUCAAUAGCUGAGUAUAGCGUGAGCUGUGUAUAUCUGUGUACAUCUUUGACACCCGUGAAUCUUCAUGCCAUUUGCAUAAACACAGUGACUUGGUGCAGAAAAUUAAAUUUGCUGAUGAAGACUAAAACGAAGUGAGAUGAUGCUAAGAAUUGAAAGUGAG